AAAGGACGCGUAGGCGGGAUAUCAAGUCAGGUGUGAAAUCCUAUGGCUCAACCAUAGAACUGCACUUGAAACUGGUAACCUAGAGUAUGGGAGGGGGAGAUGGAAUUAGUGGUGUAGGGGUAAAAUCCGUAGAUAUCACUAGGAAUACCGAAAGCGAAGGCGAUCUCCUGGAACAUUACUGACGCUAAGGCGUGAAAGCGUGGGGAGCAAACAGGAUUAGAUACCCUAGU
RNAcentral lists this ribosomal RNA (230 nucleotides) under uncultured bacterium. Its description in RNAcentral is "partial 16S ribosomal RNA". It matches the Rfam family "Bacterial small subunit ribosomal RNA", at positions 562 to 791 of the family's 1533-position model. The record is from RNAcentral.